UAAAUUGAGAGUUUGAUCCUGGCUCAGGAUGAACGCUGGCGGCGUGCUUAACACAUGCAAGUCGAGCGAUGAAGUUUCCUUCGGGAAACGGAUUAGCGGCGGACGGGUGAGUAACACGUGGGUAACCUGCCUCAUAGAGUGGAAUAGCCUUCCGAAAGGAAGAUUAAUACCG
This 172-nucleotide ribosomal RNA is filed under the name Clostridium perfringens. Its description in RNAcentral is "partial 16S ribosomal RNA". It matches the Rfam family "Bacterial small subunit ribosomal RNA", at positions 1 to 171 of the family's 1533-position model. Lineage: Bacteria; Bacillati; Bacillota; Clostridia; Eubacteriales; Clostridiaceae. The record is from RNAcentral.